Molecule: ribosomal RNA, 253 nt
Filed under: uncultured bacterium
Lineage: Bacteria
Description: partial 16S ribosomal RNA
Rfam family: Bacterial small subunit ribosomal RNA
Source: RNAcentral
GACGAACCGUACGAACGUUGUUCGGAAUCACUGGGCUUAAAGGGUGCGUAGGCUGCGCGGAAAGUUGGGUGUGAAAUCCCUCGGCUCAACCGAGGAACUGCGCCCAAAACUGCCGUGCUCGAGGGAGACAGAGGUGAGCGGAACUUAGGGUGGAGCGGUGAAAUGCGUUGAUAUCCUAAGGAACACCGGUGGCGAAAGCGGCUCACUGGGUCUCUUCUGACGCUGAGGCACGAAAGCUAGGGUAGCGAACGGG